UCCUUAGUGGUCCAGUGGUUAAAAUUCUGCAUUCCCAAUGCAGGAAGCCUGGUUCAAUCCCUGGUCAGGGAA
This 72-nucleotide transfer RNA is filed under the name Bos taurus (domestic cattle). It matches the Rfam family "tRNA". Rfam says of the family: Transfer RNA (tRNA) molecules are approximately 80 nucleotides in length. Their secondary structure includes four short double-helical elements and three loops (D, anti-codon, and T loops). Further hydrogen bonds mediate the characteristic L-shaped molecular structure. tRNAs have two regions of fundamental functional importance: the anti-codon, which is responsible for specific mRNA codon recognition, and the 3' end, to which the tRNAs corresponding amino acid is attached (by aminoacyl-tRNA synthetases). tRNAs cope with the degeneracy of the genetic code in two manners: having more than one tRNA (with a specific anti-codon) for a particular amino acid; and 'wobble' base-pairing, i.e. permitting non-standard base-pairing at the 3rd anti-codon position. RNAcentral also lists the same sequence under 4 other names. Lineage: Eukaryota; Metazoa; Chordata; Mammalia; Artiodactyla; Bovidae. The record is from Rfam by way of RNAcentral.